Molecule: ribosomal RNA, 739 nt
Filed under: Triticum aestivum (bread wheat)
Lineage: Eukaryota; Viridiplantae; Streptophyta; Magnoliopsida; Poales; Poaceae
Description: partial small subunit ribosomal RNA
Source: RNAcentral
CAUUCAAUCUGCACACAUCUUAUUUAGGAAAAGCAUAAAUCGAGAAAUCGAAAUCAGAUUAUCAAAGAACCAGGCGAAUCAAGGGGUAAAAGAAUAGAGAAAGAUGGUGAAGCUGAAGAUGUGCGGCCAACAUUGGGGAUGGGGCACGACGACCAAGCGGUAGGCAGUGAUGACCGACUCCAUUCCACCAUGACCUGAGCACUCCUUCGCACAUAUGCCCUCCCCACCCUUCCUCGGCUCCUCCACACCCAUCAUGAAUCCUGCGCCCAAUCCAGAAUCAGUAUUGGCAGCAAAGGUAAUAGGCAUGAGUAAGAAAGAAAGAGGAAGAGAGAAAGAGGCAGAGAGGUGGUUCCUUCUUGCCGCGGUCCAGCGCAGCCGGUGGUGAGGCGGCGGCUGGCCGGCGUCACCUCUCCUGCUCUGCCUCGGAACCGCGUCUCCGAUGUUGAUGCUUGACCUCCGCUCCACCCUCGUUUCCCCUCUCCUUCCCUCCUCGAUCUCUCAUCCUCGCCGUCGUCGAUCCGCUCCUCCCGCACCGCUGAACUCCAGCGCGGGGCAGGGACGGGGGCUCCUCAAGGGGGCGGGAAGGCCUCCGGGCGGGGCUGCUCUGGCGCGAUGGAGAGAGCGGGGAGGGGCCGGGAGGUGGCGGCUGUGCACGGAAGCAGGAGUGGAGAGCGGAGAGGGGGAGGGACUUGGGGCUCGAGAAGCGUGGAGGAUUGGUCGAUAGGGUUUCACCAGGCUC